UUUGUUAAGUCAGAUGUGAAAUCCCCGGGCUCAACCUGGGAACUGCAUCUGAUACUGGCAAGCUUGAGUCUCGUAGAGGGGGGUAGAAUUCCAGGUGUAGCGGUGAAAUGCGUAGAGAUCUGGAGGAAUACCGGUGGCGAAGGCGGCCCCCUGGACGAAGACUGACGCUCAGGUGCGAAAGCGUGGGGAGCAAACAGGAUUAGAUACCCUGGUAGUCCACGCCGUAAACGAUGUCGACUUGGAGGUUGUGCCCUUGAGGCGUGGCUUCCGGAGCUAACGCGUUAAGUCGACCGCCUGGGGAGUACGGCCGCAAGGUUAAAACUCAAAUGAAUUGACGGGGGCCCGCACAAGCGGUGGAGCAUGUGGUUUAAUUCGAUGCAACGCGAAGAACC
This 392-nucleotide ribosomal RNA is filed under the name Escherichia coli. Its description in RNAcentral is "bacterial SSU rRNA". It matches the Rfam family "Bacterial small subunit ribosomal RNA", at positions 579 to 970 of the family's 1533-position model. Lineage: Bacteria; Pseudomonadati; Pseudomonadota; Gammaproteobacteria; Enterobacterales; Enterobacteriaceae. The record is from RNAcentral.